UACGUAGGGUGCAAGCGUUAAUCGGAAUUACUGGGCGUAAAGCGUGCGCAGGCGGUUGUGCAAGACCGAUGUGAAAUCCCCGGGCUAAACCUGGGAAUGGCAUUGGUGACUGCACGGCUAGAGUGUGUCAGAGGGGGGUAGAAUUCCACGUGUAGCAGUGAAAUGCGUAGAGAUGUGGAGGAACACCGAUGGCGAAGGCAGCCCCCUGGGCUAACACUGACGCUCAGGCACGAAAGCGUGGGGAGCAAACAGG
RNAcentral lists this ribosomal RNA (253 nucleotides) under uncultured bacterium. Its description in RNAcentral is "partial 16S ribosomal RNA". It matches the Rfam family "Bacterial small subunit ribosomal RNA", at positions 524 to 776 of the family's 1533-position model. The record is from RNAcentral.